This is a non-coding RNA of Macaca mulatta (Rhesus monkey), 4285 nucleotides long. NCBI's taxonomy places the organism in Eukaryota, Metazoa, Chordata, Mammalia, Primates, Cercopithecidae. The record is from RefSeq and is a predicted model, not a curated record.
UGUCCCGGUGUACUUUCAGGGCUGUUUAAGGCUCUUAAGGGAAUCUCUCCAUCUGACAGACACAGUUUAAUGUUCCAUAUCAACAAGGUCUUCUAUAACAAGGACUCUAAGUCAGAAUCCCAGAGGAUUCUGGGUGUUUGUGGUUUCAGUCGGGGGUGAGGGGAAGAGUCCACUCUCAUUCAUAGCAGGAAAAACUUUCCAUUCCUCAGACCCAGAGACUUCCUGGAUUCCAGAGACGGUCCCCAUUAAGUGUAACACUGUUGCUAUGCACACCAUCCUAAGUCAUUUGGUUAUUACAAGGAAUGCUUUUUCACCAAAUCACAAGUUUUCUAUGACCAAUUUCAGUGAACCAGUUAAAUAGAAGGAUUUUUAGAAAGAGCCACCGUGAUAGCAAUUCUAGGUGGAAACUUGAGCAGGCAACAUGAAGAGGCAGUUUAUAAAAUGAAAAACGACUGUGGUUCCACUGACACCCUACAUUUUCUUGGACGAAACACCAGGAGGCUUGUUCACUGUGAGGGAGACAAUGCUCACAAGAGCUGUGGUGCCCACGUUUACUUGUUCUGAUGGGACGAAAAGCCAAACUAAGAAGGGAUCAGAUGGAAGCACGAUUUUCACAACUACCUGGAUUAUUAUUUAUGGAGGGGAUGGCCUUAAAAAGGGUAAGGGAAAGAAGAGGUGCCUUGAGAAUUCAAUGCUUUAUGCAUGGCACAGUUUGAAUAUUUAUAUUUUCUCAGCUCAAAAUAGCAAAUGGAAUGUUCUUUCUCCCACCCAAAUCUUAUUGAAGAGUGGUCUUCCCACAGCCAAGUGGAUCUUUGUGCCUAUUCAUUUCCAGGGACAGAAAACCACUGUUUUUCUGUGAUCCAGUCCCCAGUGUUUAAAAGCUGGCCUGACCCCACCCCAUAGUGCCUGGCGGGGAAAGAGUUGCUUGUUUGACUGAGAACACGGCAUCUUCCGUCUCUCCUGAUGCCAGUCAAUUUCACACUUUCUUCCAAGAAAGUACACCAAAACGGAAGCACUGCCUUUCAAUUACUUUUUGCAUUAAAGACUUUAACUUGUUUAUUCCAACUGCUUUUAUUUCUUACAGUUUUGUGAAAAAGGCAGCUUCUUAAAAUGGAGUUGCCUACUGAUCUAAGCCUUGUGGCUUAGGAGAGCAUUUGUUUCCCACUGCCUGUCAACAUCUCAGCCCUCCAUGCUCCCAGCACAGGCAAAAAUGGGUUAAAAAUCAUUAAACCACCCACUUCUUACGGAAGGAACUGAGGUGUUGGGGAUGCAGAAAUAUUCUAUAAGCAGUCCUAAUCCCAAGGACAUGGAGGAAAGAACCACCACCUAUCUGUCUUCAAGGGAAAGGGAGUCCAGAGACAGCUGAGCCAAGGUCAAUGUGGCACGUUUGCAGAAGAGAGCACCUGGGUACAUCUGGGAUGGACUGGACAAAACUGGAAAUCUUAUUUAGAACCCAGCUGCAAGUUGCUGCCUUCCCUGGGAAUGAUGAACGAUGCAAGCAAGCAUUUCAAAGUAUCAGUACCAAGCCUCCACCUCAUCCAUUUUCAUAAAGACUUUCCAAAGACCUCUGACCUGACUUUACCUGUGGCUUUAAUCCUCAUUCCUACGUUGCUCCUGACACAGUUUGCAUUUCCAACCUAGUGUACCUAUCUAAGGUUGCCUAGGCUGGCACUUCCACCAUUAAUGUCUCAGCGCAAUGGCAAAGGUUUUCGUGCCAUAAAAUGUGGACUUUAUCCUGUAGCAAAUGUAGGUUUUAAAGCAAGGGAGUAGAAUGAUCAUACUUGAAAUUUAGAAAGCUUCCUGUGUGUGCCCCACAGUGUGGAAAUGUAUCUGGAUGGAUGAAACUGGGGGAUGUUACAAUGAUUCAGGUAAGAGAUGAGGGUGGAGCCAAGGUAAUGUUAGUAGAGUGGAAGGGAAUGGUAUGAGAGAGGGCAGGUCAUCAUGAAUUUGUUGUGGAGGACCAGGGUGUAAAACUGGUCAAACGUGCCUACAAGACAUCAAGUUGAGUGGAAGGUCCAGCUUUCAUAGUAGGAGAAACAAGCUUUGGAAGAAAGAUAUUGAGUUAAAUUACAGACCAGAUAAGUUGAAAUUGCCUCUGGAAAAUGCAGGUAGAGGUGUUCCCCAGAAAGCAAGACAUACGGUUGUUGAAACUGGCAAUAAAUAAUGUUUUCUUUUCUGGAUGGAAUUCCAGAAUUUGAAGAAACUAAGGCUGAGGAAAUAAACUGUGGAACAUUGAUAUUCAAAAGGCAGACAGAUGAAAAUGAAUCAGGAGAGGAAAGUAAAAAGUAGAGAAGAGAAGGGGAAAGGUUAAAAAAGAAAAGAAAAGAAAAGAAAAGAAACAUGCCACAGAAGUGAAAACAGGAGAGAAUUUCUUUGUUUAUCUCCUGGCAUGGUUGAAUGUUAAUAGCAGGUAGUGGGUGAGAGAAUAGUCUCCAGAAACAUACUGUCUGCAUCAAAUAUUGCCUUUACCAUUUAUUAAUUCUUUGAUUUGAGGCGAGAUACUUAACUCCUUUAAUGUUGGUUGUGAGUGUUAAAAUAGCUAAUACAAAAAAGCAGUUAGAACCUUGUAAGUGUAUAGUUGAGUGUAAAUAGAUAGCAGUCAACAAAUGCAACUUAAUAUUAUAAAAGAUGUUAUAGCUCCCUUUUAGAUGGUGAGAUUCUUAACGUUAAAGUCUAUUUUUUCUUGUCAUUGCUGUAGCCCCAAUACUCAGUGAAGGAAACAUAGUUGACAUUGUGCAGUUAUUUUAAUAUUAAAACAAUUGUUGUUCACUUCCAGCAUUUAAACAAAAGAGAGAAAGAGAAGGAGAGGGAGAGGAACUAGGAUGUACAAAACCUAUGCUAAUGUUUUGUGUUGUUUUGCUUUUAAGUGCGUUUUAGCUAUGUUUUUCAACUUCUCUUAGCCAUAUAUGUUAAAAAUCCUGCAUUUUUUUUUCAUAAUGCCAGGAAAAUCUCUAAAAUUCAGACCACUGAGAAACAUCCACUACUACCACAGGGGUCACCAUCUUCUUUCCUUUGCCUUUAAAAAUUGAAGCGUAAUGUAAAUACAGUGCAAUGUAGAAAUCUGAAGUGUACAUCCAGGUCAAUUUUUAGCUGUCUGUCAAUGAGCUAAAGAUACAGAAUAUUUCUAUCACUCGGAAAGUCUUUCCAUCUUUUUCCCUAGUCAGUCUUCACAACACAAGUAUUCAUUAUGCUGACUUCUGUCAUACCAUGCUCUAUAUGUUCUUGAAUUUCAUAAAUUGACUCAUACACCGCGUACUUUUCAACUCCACAGAAUGUUUUUGAGCUUUACUCACGUGGUUUUAUGGUCCGUUGUUCAUUCCUUGUCAUUGCUGUGUAAUAUUCCAUCGUGUGAUUUAUAACGAUGGGUUUGUCGAGAUGAAGCAGCUGUCCUUUUCGUGAGGGUUGAUCAGACUGCAGUGUGCAAUCACUAAGAAUGUGGGAGUUCUUGCAGAAUUAUCCCACUCCUUUGAAGAUUCCUGACUUCAAACCACAGAGGUGAUCAUCAUGUGACCUGGUUCACAGAAAGAAAAAAAUAAAAGGGAUUUGGGGGUGGGGGUGGGCAGGAGAGACAGCAACGCUGUCAAUUUCUUCUCUCUGAGGAGCUUAAAUACCCUUCCCAUCAUCUCCUUGUUUUAAGGAACAAUGAAGAAUAACUUUCUGGGUCCCUUGGGUGUUUUAAUUAAGUAGCCACAAAAAGUGCUAGCUAGAAAAGUCUAUAGCGACUUAUAUACAGAAGUGAUAAUAUUUUAGAAUGGGCAGUUUGGGGUUAGGGCUGGAAAAUAGUUCUCAUAUCUCCUAAUCCAAUACCUGUUUUAGGUGAAACUUUGAUUUGGAGAACCAAAUAUGUCUAGCUGUACCCUCUUUUAAGUUAUUUUACACCCAAAGCCCAGCCUAGCCCUUGUGGAGUAGACAUCUGUCAGGACAGCUGCCUGGAGGCUGCAUGCUGGAGACGGAUGGAGGCAGGGGUGCAGAGAGGGACUACACAUUUACCUCUGAAAGCCUGCCAUGAAAGAUUGUCUGGAUUUCUGCUUAAAAGUAGUUUAUUUAUAAGAUGAACUAGCUGAAUUUGAUACAACUGCAUAUAUUCAUUACCAAAAUUUGAUGUCAUCUUUCCAAGCUCACCUUUUAAUUUAUAAUCAAAGCACAAAGAAAUAGGUUUACAAAUGUAAUAUAAGCACAAAUGUUGCAUGUAAUUGUAAAAUAUCGGUACAUGAUAAAAUUGGACAUACCAUGUGGCUUCAUUUGGAUGAAAUUACUUUAAUUAAAAUGAGAAAGCAUUGAAUAA